Molecule: ribosomal RNA, 496 nt
Filed under: uncultured bacterium
Lineage: Bacteria
Description: partial 16S ribosomal RNA
Rfam family: Bacterial small subunit ribosomal RNA
Source: RNAcentral
GAUGAACGCUAGCGGCAGGCCUAAUACAUGCAAGUCGAGGGGUAUGGGUUGCUUGCAAUCCAGGGACCGGCGCACGGGUGCGUAACGCGUAUGCAACCUACCUUAAUCAGGGGGAUAGCCCGGAGAAAUCCGGAUUAACACCGCAUAAAAACACAGGGUAGCAUUACCCAAUGUUCAAAUAUUUAUAGGAUUAAGAUGGGCAUGCGUGCCAUUAGCUAGUUGGCGGGGUAACGGCCAACCAGGGCGACGAUGGCUAGGGGAUCUGAGAGGAUGACCCCCCACACUGGUACUGAGACACGGACCAGACUCCUCCGGGAGGCAGCAGUAAGGAAUAUUGGUCAAUGGGGGCAACCCUGAACCAGCCAUGCCGCGUGCAGGAUGACGGCCCUCCGGGUUGUAAACUGCUUUUGUACGGGAAUAAACCUUUCUUCGUGAAGAGAGCUGAAUGUACCGUAAGAAUAAGGAUCGGCUAACUCCGUGCCAGCCGCCGCCGUAA